Oncorhynchus tshawytscha (Chinook salmon) is the source of this 3318-nucleotide long non-coding RNA. The record is from Ensembl. Lineage: Eukaryota; Metazoa; Chordata; Actinopteri; Salmoniformes; Salmonidae.
GGUGUCUGGCCUGAGACUUUCCCUGGUGUCUGGCCUGAGACUUUCCCUGGUGUCUGGCCUGAGACUUUCCCUGGUGUCUGGCCUGAGACUUUCCCUGGACUUAAACCCUGGUGUUGCACCAAGUGCAAUUGGACCUCCAUCUCCUAGCCUGGUCCCAGAUCUGCCCAUCUCCUAGCCUGGUCCCAGAUCUGCCCAUCUCCUAGCCUGGUCCCAGAUCUGUUUGUGUACUGUCUUGACCGUAGGCUACCGGUUUCCUACUCUGCUGAUGAGACGAAGGAUAUGACGAUGAUGUGGUUCUGUUUACUUCUAUCUGUCUUGUCAAAUCUUUUGAUACAAACUUAUAAAUAUUAAUAUGGCUCAUAUUGGAUUUGUCACAAAUGGCACCCUAUUCCUUAUAUAGUGCACUACUUUUGACCAGGGCCUUAUGGGGGGGGGGGUGCACUAUGUAGGGAAUAGGGUGCCAUUUGGGGGACACACACUCUGGCUUUGUUUUUAAUGACAGGAAGAGGAAUGAAAAGUAACAGCAAUAAAGGAAUACAGCUCUCUGAAUGAGAUGUCGCUGUAUUCCACUAUAACAGGAUAUGAGGAAUAUAUUACAUCCUGUUUUGAAACAUUUCAGAUUUGUUAUUGGAAGACAAGACCGUAUAAAAAAAAAAUAUAUAUAUAUAUAUAAUAAUAAUAACAUUUCAUCUUUCAGAUUCAAUAUUGUGUUGUUCCAGGAGUUUGAAACAAUUAUUCAAUAUAAUAAAAUGCAUGUAAAAAUUUGAAGUUAACUAUUUGCUUUAAGGUUUGCAGUUAGCUGACUAGUAGAUGAGUCAAAUUCUUUGGAAUUCUAGUCAAUUCAGAAAGUAAAGUCAAUUGCUAUUCCGAGUUGUCCUCCAUUUUUAAAAAGCGUUUUGAAUGGAGAUUUCAGUGGACUUCUUGAAUUGACUGAAAUUGACCCCCAAACCCCUCCUGAUACUAGCACAGUAUGUGGAGGCUUGAACUUGAUUAGGGAGAGAAACAAACUGCUUUAGACUGCUUCAUGAUGUACCCAACUAUCUGUGAAUGAGAGACUGCUUGCCUUGCAGUUCUAGUGGACCAAAGUAUCAAGUGUCUCUGGAGGGUAUGUCCAAAAUCGUACCCUUUUCCCUAAUAUAGUACACCAUUUUUUUUUUUUUUUUUGACCAGAGUCAUGUCCCCGGUGGGGAUUGUACUUCACAAACAGGAGAUGGAGUCAUGCUGGCUUGGACAAAGCUACUCUGGUCAAAAGUAGUGCACUAUGUAGGGAACAAAUGGCUCACUGUAGCAGAACAGGGUCUGUUUGGAAUCCAUUCUGUCUAUUUCAAUUGUACAGAUGUUAUAUUAUUUUUUAAACAUGUUACGAUAUGUAUAUUUAUGAAGUUUGAUAGAUACCAUUUUUUUUUUUUGCUUUAUGAUGCCUAAUUUAUUUAAAGUUUUUGAUGAUUAUUAUUGUAGGUAUUUAAUCUAUAAGUAGCGGGAAAACAAAAAGGCUGGACAAACUUCUGUUAAAAAAUAAAAACAAGUUUUAUUUUUUAUUUCAUAUGAAUUGUACUAUGAAGCAGAAUAAUCUACAGCUGGAAACUGUGCCAUAGCAGGAGAAAUUAAAGCUUUAUCAAACCAUACCAAGGUGUACAGUCUUCAUUGUAUACUAAUUGUGUUUAUACUAUUAUUAUAUACAUGUAACUGACAAAAUAAAGGAAGUACUUGAGUAAAUGAGGUAUACGAACUAUGUUGAAUACAGGUGUGGUUAACUUUAGUUCUAAACCAUGUGAUCACCAGUCUCUAACAUGGCUUUAACUUUAGUUCUAAACCAUGUGACCACCAGUCCCUAACAUGGCUUUAACUUUAGUUCUAUGCCAUAUAAGACUCAUUAGAAUAUAUGAAGAGAACAGUUCAGAAUAUUAGGGAUCAAUGAAAGAAAGCACACACAUUAAUCUCCUGGAAUAUUUAAAAAUACUCUAAUCUUGUAUAUUAUUUAGCAUUAGGAAAAUAUAAAUAAUAAUGAAAACGGGACUGGAGAGCCUUUACGGACUAAAUGUAUUGAUGAAUCAAAAAUACAGUGGUUUGAUUCCUCCUGAAAGUUGCCAUGUUUUAAUUGAUAAAUCCACAAAAUACUGGAAGGUGAGAAGUGUACAAUCAGGGGUUGACCAGUAGUCUUAUAAAUCUACCCUGAUAAUCCUUCCUAUAUCAUGGAACUGUGAUGACAACAGUCCGGUCAUCGUGAACCGUGCUUCAGGCUCCAGGUUUAAUCUGCUACAUAUGGCCUGCUUUCCAUAAUGAUUCCCAUAGGCUACAUGUCCCAGACUAUUUCACAGCUUGUAAGGCAUUAGCCUAAUAUGAUCCACUAUUGCUAGCUAUCCUCAGGAACAACCAUGGGCGCAACUUUCAGUGGGGAUGGGGACAUGUCCCAACCACAUUCUGAAAUGGCAUUUUUGUCCCCCCCCCAAUGUUAUCAUUGGAAUGUGAUACAAAACAAGGUGUUCUUUAGGACCAUACGGACGCCUCCAAGAGGUCGGGUAAGCUGUUUUGAAGUUGUUUAAUGAGUUAAUGUGUUAAGUGUUUUAUACAACUUGGUUUUAGGACCCAGUGAAGGCAAAGCUUCUGGAAGGCUGGCUGGACUGGCAUGGGAGAGUUGAGCAUAGUUCAGUGUGUACGUGUUGCGCUCUUCCACUGAGUUGUAAAAGGAAGCAGAACAGAAACUGGCUACUCUUUAGAUGACUGAUGUAGCUGGCAAGUUAACUGCUGUUUAACAGAAAAAAAACUCAUCAGGAACAAACACAGGAAUGAGACGGAGGAAAGGUAAAAUAACGAUGCAAAGGAAAUUAACUAUGAAGUCUGUGACCGUUGUAAAUGUACAGUAGGUGGAUUUAACUGACAAUAUAAUGAGAACAUUUUAGAAAUCAGAAAUCAACUCAGUAGUUUUGGUGCUAUACUGUCAUUUUCACAUGGCAACAGAAGCCUAUAGUUUGGGUCUCCAGAUUUCAUCCCUGAAAGGUUAUAAGGCCACUAUGUCAUAAACAGCCCUGUGGUAAAGGUGAUAUAUAUAUAUAUUGAUAUGCUUCAGCCUGCUGCAAUAUGACUGGUUUCACAUUUGUCUCCAGCGAUCCUAAGGUAAAACAAUUGUCAUUUAUAUUUAUAAUCCCCUUAAUCAAACAGCGUACUAAUGUAGCUCUUAUCAAUUCGUAAAUUACAGUGCAGGAGGAUUUUUUAUUUUUUAUUUCACCUUAAUUUAACCAGGUAGGCUAGUUGAGAACAAGUUCUCAUUUACAAUUGCGACCUGGCCAAGAUAAAGCAAAGCAGUUCGACACAAACAAC